AGUUCGAUCAUGGCUCAGAUUGAACGCUGGCGGGAUGCUUUACACAUGCAAGUCGAACGGCAGCACGGACUUCGGUCUGGUGGCGAGUGGCGAACGGGUGAGUAAUGUAUCGGAACGUGCCUAGUAGUGGGGAUAACUACGCGAAAGCGUAGCCAAUACCGCAUACGCCCUUCGGGGGAAAGCGGGGGACCUUCGGGCCUCGCACUAUUAGAGCGGCCGAUAUCGGAUUAGCUGUUGGUGGGUAACGGCUCACCAAGGCGACGAUCCGUAGCUGGUUUGAGAGGACGACCAGCCACACUGGGACUGAGACACGGCCCAGACUCCUACGGAGGCAGCAGUGGGGAAUUUUGGACAAUGGGGGAAACCCUGAUCCAGCCAUCCCGCGUGAUGAAGGCCUUCGGGUUGUAAAGCACUUUUGGCAGGAAAGAAACGGCACGGGAUAAUACCCCGUGCAACUGACGGUACCUGCAGAAUAAGCACCGGCUAACUACGCGCCAGCAGCCGCGGUAAUACGUAGGGUGCAAGCGUUAAUCGGAAUUACUGGGCGUAAAGCGUGCGCAGGCGGUUCGGAAAGAAAGAUGUGAAAUCCCAGAGCUUAACUUUGGAACUGCAUUUUUAACUACCGAGCUAGAGUGUGUCAGAGGGAGGUGGAAUUCCGGCGUGUAGCAGUGAAAUGCGUAGAUAUGCGGAGGAACACCGAUGGCGAAGGCAGCCUCCUGGGAUAACACUGACGCUCAUGCACGAAAGCGUGGGGAGCAAACAGGAUUAGAUACCCUGGUAGUCCACGCCCUAAACGAUGUCAACUAGCUGUUGGGGCUUCGGGCCUUGGUAGCGCAGCUAACGCGUGAAGUUGACCGCCUGGGGAGUACGGUCGCAAGAUUAAAACUCAAAGGAAUUGACGGGGACCCGCACAAGCGGUGGAUGAUGUGGAUUAAUUCGAUGCAACGCGAAAACCUUACCUACCCUUGACAUGUCUGGAAUCCCGAAGAGAUUUGGGAGUGCACGCAAGAGAACCGGAACACAGGUGCUGCAUGGCUGUCGUCAGCUCGUGUCGUGAGAUGUUGGGUUAAGCUCCGCAACGAGCGCAACCCUUGUCAUUAGUUGCUACGAAAGGGCACUCUAAUGAGACUGCCGGUGACAAACCGGAGGAAGGUGGGGAUGACGUCAAGUCCUCAUGGCCCUUAUGGGUAGGGCUUCACACGUCAUACAAUGGUCGGGACAGAGGUCGCCAACCCGCGAGGGGGAGCCAAUCCCAGAAACCCGAUCGUAGUCCGGAUCGCAGUCUGCAACUCUCGACUGCGUGAAGUCGGAAUCGCUAGUAAUCGCGGAUCAGCAUGUCGCGGCAAGAAUACGUUCCCGGGUCUUGUACACACCGCCCGUCACACCAUGGGAGUGGGUUUUACCAGAAGUAGUUAGCCUAACCGUAAGGAGGGCGAUUACCACGGUAGGAUUCAUGACUGGGGUGAAGUCGUAACAAGGUAA
This 1482-nucleotide ribosomal RNA is filed under the name uncultured Bordetella sp. RNAcentral describes it as "partial 16S-23S ribosomal RNA intergenic spacer". It matches the Rfam family "Bacterial small subunit ribosomal RNA". Lineage: Bacteria; Pseudomonadati; Pseudomonadota; Betaproteobacteria; Burkholderiales; Alcaligenaceae. The record is from RNAcentral.